GAAACGACUGCUAAGACUGGAUAGGAAAAGUGAAGGCAUCUUUACUUUUUUAAAAGACCUUCUUUGAAGGUAUGCUUAAGGAGGGGCUUGCGACACAUUAGUUAGUUGGCAGGGUAAAGGCCUACCAAGACUAUGAUGUGUAGCUGGACUGAGAGGUUGAACAGCCACAUUGGGACUGAGACACGGCCCAAACUCCUACGGGAGGCAGCAGUAGGGAAUUUUCGGCAAUGGAGGAAACUCUGACCGAGCAACGCCGCGUGAACGAUGAAGUACCUCGGUAUGUAAAGUUCUUUUAUUAAGGAAGAAAAAAGAGUGGAAAAACUCCCUUGACGGUACUUAAUGAAUAAGCCCCGGCUAAUUAUGUGCCAGCAGCCGCGGUAAUACAUAAGGGGCGAGCGUUAUCCGGAAUUAUUGGGCGUAAAGGGUGCGUAGGCGGUUUAAUAAGUCUAUAGUUUAAUUUCAGCGCUUAACGCUGUUGUGCUAUAGAAACUGUUUUACUAGAGUGAGAUAGAGGCAAGCGGAAUUCCAUGUGUAGCGGUAAAAUGCGUAAAUAUAUGGAGGAACACCAGAGGCGUAGGCGGCUUGCUGGGUCUUUACUGACGCUGAGGCACGAAAGCGUGGGGAGCAAACAGGAUUAGAUACCCUGGUAGUCCACGCCGUAAACGAUGAGUACUAAGUGUCGGGUAAAACCGGUACUGAAGUUAACACAUUAAGUACUCCGCCUGAGUAGUACGUACGCAAGUAUGAAACUUAAAGGAAUUGACGGGACUCCGCACAAGCGGUGGAUCAUGUUGUUUAAUUCGAAGAUACACGAAAAACCUUACCAGGUCUUGACAUUUUCUUGCGAAGUUAUAGAAAUAUAAUGGAGGUUAUCAGGAAAACAGGUGGUGCAUGGUUGUCGUCAGCUCGUGUCGUGAGAUGUUAGGUUAAGUCCUAAAACGAGCGCAACCCUUGUCGUUAAUUGCCAGCAUGUAAUGAUGGGGACUUUAACGAGACUGCCAAUGAAAAAUUGGAGGAAGGUGGGGAUUACGUCAAAUCAUCAUGCCCCUUAUGAUCUGGGCUACAAACGUGAUACAAUGGUUGAUACAAAGAGUAGCUGAAACGCGAGUUCUUAGCCAAUCUCACAAAAUCAAUCUCAGUUCGGAUUGAAGUCUGCAACUCGACUUCAUGAAGUUAGAAUCGCUAGUAAUCGUGAAUCAGCAUGUCACGGUGAAUACGUUCUCGGGGUUUGUACACACCGCCCGUCA
This 1247-nucleotide ribosomal RNA is filed under the name Candidatus Phytoplasma pruni. Its description in RNAcentral is "bacterial SSU rRNA". It matches the Rfam family "Bacterial small subunit ribosomal RNA", at positions 153 to 1399 of the family's 1533-position model. The record is from RNAcentral. Lineage: Bacteria; Bacillati; Mycoplasmatota; Mollicutes; Acholeplasmatales; Acholeplasmataceae.